GCCACCCUAGCUCAGCUGGUAGAGCAAUUGUUUCGUAAACAAUAGGUCGUCGGUUCAAGUCCGAUGGGUGGCUCCA
Molecule: transfer RNA, 76 nt
Filed under: Deltaproteobacteria bacterium
Lineage: Bacteria; Pseudomonadati; Myxococcota; Myxococcia
Description: tRNA-Thr
Rfam family: tRNA
About the family: Transfer RNA (tRNA) molecules are approximately 80 nucleotides in length. Their secondary structure includes four short double-helical elements and three loops (D, anti-codon, and T loops).
Source: RNAcentral